CUGGGCAUUAACUGACGCUGAGGAGCGAAAGCAUGGGGAGCGAACAGGAUUAGAUACCCUGGUAGUCCAUGCCGUAAACGUUGGGCACUAGGUGUGGGGGACAUUCCACGUUUUCCGCGCCGUAGCUAACGCAUUAAGUGCCCCGCCUGGGGAGUACGGCCGCAAGGCUAAAACUCAAAGGAAUUGACGGGGGCCCGCACAAGCGGCGGAGCAUGCGGAUUAAUUCGAUGCAACGCGAAGAACCUUACCAAGGCUUGACAUGAACCGGAAACACCUGGAGACAGGUGCCCCGCUUGCGGUCGGUUUACAGGUGGUGCAUGGUUGUCGUCAGCUCGUGUCGUGAGAUGUUGGGUUAAGUCCCGCAACGAGCGCAACCCUCGUUCUAUGUUGCCAGCACGUGAUGGUGGGGACUCAUAGGAGACUGCCGGGGUCAACUCGGAGGAAGGUGGGGACGACGUCAAAUCAUCAUGCCCCUUAUGUCUUGGGCUUCACGCAUGCUACAAUGGCCGGUACAAAGGGUUGCGAUACUGUGAGGUGGAGCUAAUCCCAAAAAGCCGGUCUCAGUUCGGAUUGGGGUCUGCAACUCGACCCCAUGAAGUCGGAGUCGCUAGUAAUCGCAGAUCAGCAACGCUGCGGUGAAUACGUUCCCGGGCCUUGUACACACCGCCCGUCAAGUCACGAAAGUUGGUAACACCCGAAGCCGGUGGUCCUAACCCCUUG
RNAcentral lists this ribosomal RNA (720 nucleotides) under Arthrobacter sp. EECC-427. RNAcentral's name for it is "bacterial SSU rRNA". It matches the Rfam family "Bacterial small subunit ribosomal RNA", at positions 729 to 1445 of the family's 1533-position model. The record is from RNAcentral. Lineage: Bacteria; Bacillati; Actinomycetota; Actinomycetes; Micrococcales; Micrococcaceae.